Molecule: long non-coding RNA, 1246 nt
Organism: Lagopus leucura (white-tailed ptarmigan)
Lineage: Eukaryota; Metazoa; Chordata; Aves; Galliformes; Phasianidae
Exons: 4
Source: RefSeq, a predicted model, not a curated record
UUGUUUUAUUGCUCCCAGGAUUAAUUUUUCUUGGGAAGGGUUUGGACAUGGAACUAUUUGGUGGCAGAAAGCUCACAGUCCUCUUUAGAUCUUUUGGCAGAAUUUAAGCCACGAUGAUAUCCAACUCUCAAGCAAGUGGUCGUAUGAAAAAGUCAUUCUGUUCCAUUAGAGUGUCUCUUCUGUGGUAUUUCAUGUUUUCUCAGCACAGAUUUUUCCUCAUUUGAGCCUCCCUCUCCUUGCAGAUGUGUGCAAUCUAAGCAACUUUGUCUUUUGUCUAAUACAGGAAAAGCCUGCUAUUCAUGGUGUGUAGCUGAAGAGUGGAUUGGAUAGUGUCAUGGCAGCACAGCAGUUCGUACUGUUGUAUUUAGUGAUGGGGAAUAUCUGUAGAGACUUAAAAAAAUAAAAUAAAAUGGAGAAAUACAACUUAAAUGUGUACAGGCGGCAUAAAUGUAGUGGAGGAUGGACAAGCAGGAGCUGGGGCUUUUAGGAGACACUGGCUAUUCAGAACAGAUCAUCAUCCUGGGAGAUCUCAGUCACUUCAUCCGUGAGACCAAGCACCAGAUGUAAGAUUUACAGUUGCUGUGAAAUCACCUCUGCUUGAAAAGCUCUUGCAAGUUACCUCUCUGGGAAUCAUCAAACUUGCCAUUUUGGAGAAUACAGAUCACUGUCAGCCAUAGGUACGGCCUCAUGGAAAAUGAGAGACACUGCAGUGAAUCAGCCCCCAGACAUCACAGGAGAGGCUUCUGAAGAGACCUUCAGCACAGCUCUGUGGAGACACCGCCUGUGCUGGGGUGAGGAACCCCCCUGGCAGAAGUGAGUGAGUGCAUGAACGAGGGGAGGAGUACGACUGCCUGUCAGAUUCACGAGGCAUGGAAGAGGGCCACCAGCAGCGAACGGCUUCAGCAAAGUCAAGCCACUUCUUUCCAAGGCCUCAGACAUUAGUCCACGCCGAAUCUGACCAUCUGAGUUCCUUGGAAGUGAAUGUAAAUGCCUACAUGAAGACCAAGAAAGCUGGACUUUUUGUGAAACAUUAGUAAUUAUAUGGUGGUAGCACUCAGGAACUGCUGACCAUGGAGUAAACACAGUUUCUGCCUGAAGGCUGGAAGGUACAGUUCUGUACAAAAAAUACUUCAUAGAAGUUGUGUUACCAUCAGUGUGGUCUUGCUCUGCAAAUCUACUUAAUCUAUGUAUUUAGAGUCAUGUGCGCUUUAGUGACGUAAUAAAGGUCAGUUAAUUCUUUUCCCUA